Oryza glaberrima (African rice) is the source of this 107-nucleotide non-coding RNA. NCBI's taxonomy places the organism in Eukaryota, Viridiplantae, Streptophyta, Magnoliopsida, Poales, Poaceae. The record is from Rfam.
AUCCCAUGAUGAGGACAGGCGGCCACGUAUUCCUAAAGUCGUUCCCAUGCUUCAGGAAUGGACUCGUCCCUUGUCUGCUGGAAACUUGAAAUUCUUCCGCGUAGGGC